Molecule: long non-coding RNA, 334 nt
Organism: Sphaerodactylus townsendi
Lineage: Eukaryota; Metazoa; Chordata; Lepidosauria; Squamata; Sphaerodactylidae
Exons: 2
Source: RefSeq, a predicted model, not a curated record
AAGGGUACCAGACUCGGACCUUGAUUUCUAUAAGCCCUUAACACCUUGUUAAGGGUUUUCUUUUGUGGUUGUAAUGGGUGAGAGUUCUCCUGGAAACCUUCAUCAUGUUGCAACCUUCCGGUUCAUCAAGCCCUUUGAGUUCUUUCAGGGAGCCAGCCGAACUUGCAAAGAAGGAAUUUGGACUUGGCAAUAUCAGUAGACUGUAAAUAGUGGCCGAAGGACUUCCCCGAAAAUGCAACUCCUGAACAGGACCUUGCGGAAUUGUAACGCUAAAUGUUGAUGUUUUAAAAGUGUGGCGGUAAUUGUAAAGAAAAGUAAACCAUCUUUGUUGCUU